Apodemus sylvaticus (European woodmouse) is the source of this 109-nucleotide small nuclear RNA. Lineage: Eukaryota; Metazoa; Chordata; Mammalia; Rodentia; Muridae. The record is from RefSeq and is a predicted model, not a curated record.
GUGCACACUUCCGCAACACAUAUACUAAAAUUGAAUAAUACAGAGAUUAGCAUGGCCCCUGAACAAGGAUGAGUAUGACAUGCAAAUUCAUGAAACAUUCCUUAUUUUC